GCAGGACACACACAUCUUCAACAUUUCUAGAGUCUGGACGUCUGAGAUCAGGGUGCCAGCACUGUCGAGGUCACAGACUGCAGACCUCCUUGUAUCUUCAAAUGGAGGAAAGAGGACAAGAGAGCUCCUGUGGUCCCUUUUAUCAAGAUGAAUGCACAAGGAAAAUGUUGUACAUUUGCACAUUGGAGUACACUUCAGCCAUAAAAAGAAUGAGAUGCUGUCAUUUGCAACAACAGUUGAAGCCUAGUCAAGAAGAGGGCUCAGAGAAGCUUGACUAAAGUUUCAUGAAGAGAGUCUCUGUCAGUGGUGGGUCUUUGAUUCUCAAGGAAGCUGUCAGAAGCUUCAUCUAACUUCUCUUCCACUCUACUUUCUUCUGGGGAAGAAGUGACCCAACAAUUUGAUCUAAUAUUUGCCUGAUAAUAUUGAACAUCCUUGCAUCCAUUAAAGUUUACUGUUCUAAGACUUACUUUAACCAAGGUCAACAGCAAUCUGAGACACACUCUUCUCAUGGCAGAUUAUGGGACCAUAAAGCAGGAAUAAGAACCACAGCGUGAUAUUCU
Molecule: long non-coding RNA, 560 nt
Filed under: Homo sapiens (human)
Lineage: Eukaryota; Metazoa; Chordata; Mammalia; Primates; Hominidae
Description: HSALNT0142042
Source: RNAcentral